GAUCCUGGCUCAGAUUGAACGCUGGCGGCAGGCUUAACACAUGCAAGUCGAACGGUAACAUAAAGAAGCUUGCUUCUUUGAUGACGAGUGGCGGACGGGUGAGUAAUGCUUGGGAAUCUAGCUUAUGGAGGGGGAUAACUACGGGAAACCGUAGCUAAUACCGCGUAAUAUCGAGAGAUUAAAGUGUGGGACCUUCGGGCCACAUGCCAUAGGAUGAGCCCAAGUGGGAUUAGGUAGUUGGUGAAGGG
This 248-nucleotide ribosomal RNA is filed under the name uncultured bacterium. RNAcentral's name for it is "partial 16S ribosomal RNA". It matches the Rfam family "Bacterial small subunit ribosomal RNA", at positions 15 to 259 of the family's 1533-position model. The record is from RNAcentral.